RNAcentral lists this small RNA (101 nucleotides) under Salmonella enterica subsp. enterica serovar Berta. Its description in RNAcentral is "partial RtT sRNA". It matches the Rfam family "RtT RNA", at positions 31 to 130 of the family's 130-position model. Rfam says of the family: This family represents a bacterial cis-regulatory element known as RtT RNA. RNAcentral also lists the same sequence under 5 other names. The record is from RNAcentral. Lineage: Bacteria; Pseudomonadati; Pseudomonadota; Gammaproteobacteria; Enterobacterales; Enterobacteriaceae.
UUCGACUAAGGUUCGAUUCGAGCGCAGCGAGAAAGCGUUGCCGCAGGCAACGACCCGAAGGGCGAAGCGCGCAGCGCUGAGUCAUCCUUCCCCCACCACCA